GGUAGUGGUAGUGGUAGUGGUAGUGGUAGUGGUAGUUUUCUAGAUGGUAUCCCUGUGGUUUCCCAAGAUGCUGUGUGGCCUUUGUCAAAAACCAUAAACACACAAGAUGGCGGAAGAAGAAGAAAAAACGAUGGAAGAAAAACGUGGCUAAAAGAACCUACCUUUAUCCGUAGUCUCUCGUGCGCACAAAGACUGGGCACUAGACUGCGUAGUCUUACACAAUGACGUCACACGGUUCUCAAAGAUGACAUCACAAGUCCCCCAACUGAAGGUGUCUAUGUGCAUGGAUUGUAUCUAGAUGGAGCAGGAUCAGGGUUCGACGAAGCUGUAAGCUGAUAGAAGCUGCAUGUACCACUAUCACAUCAUUACCAUCGAAUGUACCAUUGUCCUAUUUAUAAGAAGCAGCGACGCGCAGGCCUGACGUACAUUGUCCGCGUGGACCUGAACACCAAUGAGAACCCAGAUCACUUGAUACUACGUGAAGUGGCUUUGCUAUGUGAUAUCAAGUAAAACAGUACAAAAACAUUUAUUGAUAGAGAUCAUAUAGAGAUUAUUGGGUUUUAUAGAUAAUCCAUAGACAUUUCCUUCGUCAGAUUAUUCAGCAGUUUUUGUUUUGCUCGCAGGAUGAAUGCGAUCCACAUUGCGCGAGAAGGAAAAACGCCAAUAAAAUGCCUAGAAAACGUCAAGCAGGAAGCGUUUUACUGAAAAAGCAAAGGACGCACCCAUAUACCGACUGUCCAGAUCGUCUUUCUAUAGAGCUGUUAAAUGUGACGUAAUUAGAACGAAAAACGACUUCCGGGUCCAACUUAAUAAUUACUUCUACAGAUAUUUUUAUGUGUUCUUUUUUCUUCAUAGCAUGAUUCUCUGGUCGUAUGUCUAAUUGUUGAAGGUAGAGAAUAAAUCCUGGGAAUAAGUUCUGGCAAGAUUUUAUCGAUCUCUUGCAUGAUUGGACCCGGAAAUACGUCACAACUUAAAAGCCCUAUAACAUGUUACUCUGUAUUAUUUAUGACGAGCUUAGAUUUCGUUGCCAGAAAAACAAGUAAGCCACAAAAGAAUUUCGUAGACCACAGAAAUAGAUUUUUUUUCAAAUAAUGAAUAGUAAUACUUAGUAUGUUUUGAUGUGAUUUGUAAAACAAUAUACACCUAAAUCCAAAAUGGGGCAUGGCCAGUUGAAAAGGAGGCAUCCAUGGCUAAAUUUGCAGUAUUUUCUUAUAAAUUAAUGCAGCAAAAUUGUCACAUUCCUGAAUGUAAGAAGAAAAGGAAGACAGAACAAGUGAACAAGUGUAUACCUUGCAUUGACACCAUAUUAUUUGUUUGCAUUUAGCCCUGGAUGCCUCGUUUUCAUGUAACACACUCGGUCAUGUGUCAUUUUUGGAUUCAUUUAUUUAGGUGUAUUAGCUCAUAGAUGUAGAGUAUAAAAUAUUUUUUUAGGAAUUAUUAGGAAUACUUAGGGUCUAAUGUAUACCAAUAGUAACACAAAUUGAAUAGUCUGUGGUCAAUGUCAAAAAAGAUUGACGUCAUAUAUUGAAUCUCGGUUUCGUACUGCCCCCCCCCCCCUCCUUUCCCCAUCAAAUAAAUCCUUGAUCCCCCUUUGUUCAAGAUAUUGUAUUAUAUUGCAUGAAAAUAUGUUAACAUAGCUUAUAAUAURAUGUGAAGCCAGUACAGCUGAGUUCUCUUUGUACAGUAAAUGAUUUAUUUCUAUGUUAACUUAUUAUAAUUUGAGUAGUGUGAAUAAUAGAACAUUGAACAAGUUA
Actinia tenebrosa (Australian red waratah sea anemone) is the source of this 1754-nucleotide long non-coding RNA. RefSeq lists it as uncharacterized. The record is from RefSeq and is a predicted model, not a curated record. NCBI's taxonomy places the organism in Eukaryota, Metazoa, Cnidaria, Anthozoa, Actiniaria, Actiniidae.